This 796-nucleotide ribosomal RNA is filed under the name uncultured archaeon. Its description in RNAcentral is "bacterial SSU rRNA". It matches the Rfam family "Archaeal small subunit ribosomal RNA", at positions 85 to 879 of the family's 1478-position model. The record is from RNAcentral.
ACUGCUCAGUAACACGUGGAUAACCUGCCCUUGGGACCGGCAUAACCCCGGGAAACUGGGGAUAAUUCCGGAUACCGCAUAUAUGCUGGAAUGCUUUAUGCGUGAAAUGGAUUCGUCUGCCCAAGGAUGGGUCUGCGGCCUAUCAGGUAGUAGUGGGUGUAAUGUACCUACUAGCCUACAACGGGUACGGGUUGUGAGAGCAAGAGCCCGGAGAUGGAUUCUGAGACAUGAAUCCAGGCCCUACGGGGCGCAGCAGGCGCGAAAACUUUACAAUGCGGGAAACCGUGAUAAGGGGACACCGAGUGCCAGCAUCAUAUGCUGGCUGUCCUGGUGUGUAAAAUACACCUGUUAGCAAGGGCCGGGCAAGACCGGUGCCAGCCGCCGCGGUAACACCGGCGGCCCGAGUGGUGAUCGUGAUUAUUGGGUCUAAAGGGUCCGUAGCCGGUUUGGUCAGUCCUCCGGGAAAUCUGACAGCUCAACUGUUAGGCUUUCGGGGGAUACUGCCAGACUUGGAACCGGGAGAGGUAAGAGGUACUACAGGGGUAGGAGUGAAAUCUUGUAAUCCCCGGGGGACCACCUGUGGCGAAGGCGUCUCACCAGAACGGCUCCGACAGUGAGGGACGAAAGCUGGGGGAGCGAACCGGAUUAGAUACCCGGGUAGUCCCAGCCGUAAACGAUGCGGGCUAGGUGUUGGGGUGGCUACGAGCCACUUCAGUGCCGCAGGGAAGCCAUUAAGCCCGCCGCCUGGGGAGUACGGCCGCAAGGCUGAAACCUAAAGGAAUUGGCGGGGGAGCAC